RNAcentral lists this ribosomal RNA (482 nucleotides) under uncultured bacterium. Its description in RNAcentral is "bacterial SSU rRNA". It matches the Rfam family "Bacterial small subunit ribosomal RNA", at positions 28 to 526 of the family's 1533-position model. The record is from RNAcentral.
GACGAACGCUGGCGGCGUGCUUAACACAUGCAAGUCGAACGGUGACCCAUCUUCGGAUGGUGAUCAGUGGCGAACGGGUGAGUAACACGUGGGCAACCUGCCCCUAGCUCUGGGAUAACUCCUCGAAAGAGGUGCUAAUACCGGAUAUCACCUCCCUGGACAUCCAGGGUGGUUGAAAGUUUUUCGGCUAGGGAUGGGCCCGCGGCCUAUCAGCUUGUUGGUGGGGUAAUGGCCUACCAAGGCGACGACGGGUAGCCGGCCUGAGAGGGCGACCGGCCACACUGGGACUGAGACACGGCCCAGACUCCUACGGGAGGCAGCAGUGGGGAAUAUUGCGCAAUGGGCGAAAGCCUGACGCGGCAACGCCGCGUGAGGGAUGACGGCCUUCGGGUUGUAAACCUCUUUCAGCAGGGACGAAGCGAAAGUGACUGUACCUGCAGAAGAAGCGCCGGCUAACUACGUGCCAGCAGCCGCAGUAAAAC